GAUCAUGGCUCAGGAUGAACGCUAGCUACAGGCUUAACACAUGCAAGUCGAGGGGAAACGACAUCGAAAGCUUGCUUUUGAUGGGCGUCGACCGGCGCACGGGUGAGUAGCGCGUAUCCAACCUGCCCAUCACUUUGGAAUAACCUUGCGAAAGUAAGACUAAUGCCCAAUGAUAUCCCACGAAGGCAUCCGAAUGGGAUUAAAGAUUUAUCGGUGAUGGAUGGGGAUGCGU
RNAcentral lists this ribosomal RNA (232 nucleotides) under uncultured bacterium. RNAcentral describes it as "partial 16S ribosomal RNA". It matches the Rfam family "Bacterial small subunit ribosomal RNA", at positions 15 to 236 of the family's 1533-position model. The record is from RNAcentral.